ACCUUUUUGUAGUUCAUAAGCAUGAUGAUUAUGUUUUUACAUUCAUGUAUAAGAUGUGCCUCCCUCAAACCUUGUUAUGAUGUCAGUAUGUCUCAUGUGUGGGG
Molecule: small nucleolar RNA, 104 nt
Filed under: Chlorocebus sabaeus (green monkey)
Lineage: Eukaryota; Metazoa; Chordata; Mammalia; Primates; Cercopithecidae
Description: Small nucleolar RNA U13
Rfam family: Small nucleolar RNA U13
Source: Rfam by way of RNAcentral